AACAGGAGUAUGUAAAAUGCAUUAUAUAUAUUGUAGGUACACCCUACAGUAACCUUUUACUAAAAAACAUAGAAAUACUGUAGGCCACUGCAUGCCAUUCCACACACCAUGCAUAAUAUAUAUAUUUUUUCCUGCAUUAACAAAUGCUGAGAGCGUUGCUGGUACGUCCAGUCAGAGCAUGCGCGAUGACGAUAGAAGUGUGGCGGUCGUACAUCUUAUAAUGUUGCUGCCAG
Molecule: long non-coding RNA, 233 nt
Filed under: Zea mays
Lineage: Eukaryota; Viridiplantae; Streptophyta; Magnoliopsida; Poales; Poaceae
Description: long non-coding RNA (ZMAY_LNC000750)
Source: RNAcentral